UUACACUUACUAAUGUAAAGCAGUCAGACGGUCAGAUUUAAUUCAGCUUCACCUUCAUUUUUACUACAUUUGCUUCAUAUUUUCAAAAUGUUGUAUUGGAAAAUGGACAGUAAAGCCCAUUCUGCCCUAAUUUCCUAGCAAAAAUGUGUUUCUGUAAUCUACCACUGAGUUGUAAUGUCAUACAUCAUCCAUCCUUUGAUAUGACAUCCUCCAUGAUAAUUUAGACCACAAUGGGAAUGAGGGUAGUUACUAGUUAGUGGUCAAAAAAGAGAGAAGAGACCAGAUGAGACGAGACAUGCCAAUUAAGAGACAAGAGCAAUACAAUUAAUUGUAAUGAGAUAAAUUAGACGAGGUGAGAUGAGACUAAACAAGACAAGAGACGAGAAAAGAUGAGGUGAGAUGAGACAAGACAAGACUAAACAAGACAGGACAAGAGACGAGAAAAGAUGAGGUGAGAUGAGACAAGACAAGACUAAACAAGACAAGAUACGAGAAAAGAUAAGGUGAGAUAAGACAAGACAAUACAAAACAAGGCAAGAGACGAGAAAAGAUGAGGUGAGAUGAGACAAGACUAGACAAAACAAGGCAAGAGACAAGAAAAGAUGAGGUGAGAUGAGACAAGACUAGAAGAAACCAGACAAGAGACAAGUUAAUGCGAGGUGAAAUGAGACAAGACUAGCCAAAACAAGACAAGAGAUGAGAUAAGGCAAGGUGAGAUAAAACUAGUCAAAACAAGACGAGAGGUGACAAGGCGAGGUGAGAUGAGACGAGACUAGACUAGAUGAAACAAAACAAGAGAUGAGAAAAGAUGAGAUGAGACGAGUUAAUGCGAGGGGAGAUGAGAGUUGAGAUGGAACAAGUCAAAACAAGACAAGGUGGGAUGAGACUAGAUGAAACAAGACAGGAGAUGGGAAAAGCCAAGGUGACAUGAGACUAGACGAAACAAGACAGGAGAUGAGAAAAGAUGAGGUGAGAUGAGAGGAGAAUAAAUGAAACAAGACAAGAGACGAGAAAAGAAGUAGUGAGAUGAGAGGAGACUAGACAAAACUAGACAAGAGACAAGAAAAGACGAGGUGAGAUGAGAGGAGAAUAAAUGAAACAAGACAAGAGACGAGAAAAGAAGUAGUGAGAUGAGAGGAGACUAGACAAAAUCAGACAAGAGAUGAGAAAAGACGAGGUGAGAUGAGAGGAGACUAGACAAAAUCAGACAAGAGAUGAGAAAAGACGAGGUGAGAUGAGACAAGACUUAACAAAACCAGACAAGAGACGAGAAAAGACGAGGUGAGAUGAGACAAGACUAAACAAAACCAGACAAGAGAAAUACAAGGUGAGAUGAGAGGAGACUAGACAAAACCAGACAAGAGAUGAGAAAAGAAGAGGUGAGAUGAGAGGAGAAUAAAUGAAACAAGCAAGAGACGAGAAAAGACGAGGUGAGAUGAGAGCAUGCCCAGUGAUGGUCACGUGAUCCACGUUUUCAUUCGUUUUAAUGUGGAUGGAGAUCAAUUGUAAUACAGAGAUCGUACUCGUUUUAAUUAUCCGUUUUUAAACGAAAAUGCAGUAGUGUGGACGGGGGGGCUUAGAGAAAGAGAAAAGAAAGGGAAAGGAAAGGAAGGAGGGGUGAAGAGAAGAGACAAGAUGAGAUGAGGCAAGAUCAAAUGAAUUAAGUGAGAUGAUAUUUGAUUAAACCAGAACAGAAGAUAAAUAGAUGAGAGUGAGACCAGAUGAGAUAACACAAAAUGAAACUAAAACAGAAAAAAAA
This is a non-coding RNA of Pimephales promelas (fathead minnow), 1759 nucleotides long. Lineage: Eukaryota; Metazoa; Chordata; Actinopteri; Cypriniformes; Leuciscidae. The record is from RefSeq and is a predicted model, not a curated record.